RNAcentral lists this ribosomal RNA (432 nucleotides) under uncultured bacterium. RNAcentral's name for it is "partial 16S ribosomal RNA". The stretch from base 1 to 174 matches the Rfam family "Bacterial small subunit ribosomal RNA", at positions 1364 to 1533 of the family's 1533-position model. The record is from RNAcentral.
GAAUACGUUCCCGGGCCUUGUACACACCGCCCGUCACACCACGAAAGUUUGUUGUACCCGAAGUCGGUGCCUUAACCUCGCAAGAGGAGAGAGCCGCCCAAGGUAUGGCCGAUGAUUGGGGUGAAGUCGUAACAAGGUAGCCGUAGGGGAACCUGCGGCUGGAUCACCUCCUUUCUAGGAGAGAAGGGUCCUGGAUGAAGCGCUCCUAUUUAGUCUUGUGAAGGAUCCGAGUGGAAGCCGGGACCGGAGAAAGACCGGGCCUGUAGCUCAGAUGGUGAGAGCGCACGCCUGAUAAGCGUGAGGUCGAUAGUUCGAAUCUAUCCAGGCCCACCAUCUGCGGGGAUGUAGCUCAGUUGGGAGAGCGCCUGCUUUGCAAGCAGGAGGUCAGCGGUUCGAUCCCGCUCAUCUCCACCACGGAGAAGGGACACGGCC